AUUGAACGCUGGCGGCAGGCUUAACACAUGCAAGUCGAGCGGAAACGAUGUAGCUUGCUACAGGCGUCGAGCGGCGGACGGGUGAGUAACGCGUAGGAAUCUGCCUAGUAGUGGGGGACAACAUGUGGAAACGCAUGCUAAUACCGCAUACGCCCUACGGGGGAAAGGAGGGGAUCUUCGGACCCUUCGCUAUUAGAUGAGCCUGCGUAAGAUUAGCUAGUUGGUAGGGUAAAGGCCUACCAAGGCGACGAUCUUUAACUGGUCUGAGAGGAUGGCCAGUCACACUGGGACUGAGACACGGCCCAGACUCCUACGGGAGGCAGCAGUGGGGAAUAUUGGACAAUGGGCGCAAGCCUGAUCCAGCCAUGCCGCGUGUGUGAAGAAGGCCUUAGGGUUGUAAAGCACUUUCAGGGGUGAGGAAGGGUGUUUGGUUAAUAUCCAAACAUUUUGACGUUAGCUCCAGAAGAAGCACCGGCUAACUCGGUG
Molecule: ribosomal RNA, 486 nt
Filed under: uncultured bacterium
Lineage: Bacteria
Description: partial 16S ribosomal RNA
Rfam family: Bacterial small subunit ribosomal RNA
Source: RNAcentral